Non-coding RNA from Odocoileus virginianus texanus, 329 nucleotides. NCBI's taxonomy places the organism in Eukaryota, Metazoa, Chordata, Mammalia, Artiodactyla, Cervidae. The record is from RefSeq and is a predicted model, not a curated record.
GGGGGCCAAGACCGAGCCGGCCGGCCAGUUCUAAGCCCCGCCGCGGACCAAGCGGGCCGCACCUUCGGGAGCCCAGAAGAUGCCCAGGGAGACGGGAACCCCGAUAGCACCACUUGCUGACCACGGCAAGCAUCUAGCCGGUGCUGCUCCACUUCACACACAAUGAUCUGUCCAUGCUGAUUCACUGAGCCUCACAGAGUCCGCCGAGCGGGCUAUUAGUUGUCCAUGUAUUUAUUUCAGUGGUACCCACAUAUCCAAACCAUCCGUCUUAACAUUUGUAUUUCACCACCAUUCCAAAUAAAUAGCUUGAUUCACUCUCUUUUCUAUCA